RNAcentral lists this ribosomal RNA (253 nucleotides) under uncultured bacterium. Its description in RNAcentral is "partial 16S ribosomal RNA". It matches the Rfam family "Bacterial small subunit ribosomal RNA", at positions 524 to 776 of the family's 1533-position model. The record is from RNAcentral.
UACGGAGGGGGCUAGCGUUGUUCGGAAUUAUUGGGCGUAAAGGGCGCGUAGGCGGCCCUGUGUGUCGGGUGUGAAAGCCCACCUCUUAAAGGUGGAAUUGCAUUCGAAACUACAGGGCUGGAGUGUCGGAGAGGAUGGCGGAAUUCCUGGUGUAGAGGUGAAAUUCGUAGAUAUCAGGAGGAACACCGGUGGCGAAGGCGGCCAUCUGGACGACAACUGACGCUGAGGCGCGAAAGCGUGGGGAUCAAACAGG